GGUUCCUUUGUGUAGUGGAUCACGUUCGCUUCACACGCGAAAGGUCCCCGGUCGACCCCGGGAGGGAACCCA
This is a non-coding RNA of Trichonephila inaurata madagascariensis, 72 nucleotides long. Lineage: Eukaryota; Metazoa; Arthropoda; Arachnida; Araneae; Nephilidae. The record is from the annotation of a GenBank genome assembly.